This 69-nucleotide microRNA precursor is filed under the name Salmo salar (Atlantic salmon). RNAcentral's name for it is "mir-8/mir-141/mir-200 microRNA precursor family". It matches the Rfam family "mir-8/mir-141/mir-200 microRNA precursor family". From Rfam's summary of the family: The bounds of the precursors are predicted based on conservation and base pairing and are not generally known. Lineage: Eukaryota; Metazoa; Chordata; Actinopteri; Salmoniformes; Salmonidae. The record is from Rfam by way of RNAcentral.
GGACACAUCUUACCUGACAGUGCUCGGCUGUACAUAGAUGUUCUAACACUGUCUGGUAAUGAUGUUCCC